Molecule: ribosomal RNA, 484 nt
Filed under: uncultured bacterium
Lineage: Bacteria
Description: partial 16S ribosomal RNA
Rfam family: Bacterial small subunit ribosomal RNA
Source: RNAcentral
AUUGAACGCUGGCGGCAGGCCUAACACAUGCAAGUCGAGCGGAUGAAGGGGGCUUGCUCCUGGAUUCAGCGGCGGACGGGUGAGUAAUGCCUAGGAAUCUGCCUUGUCGUGGGGGAUAACGUCCGGAAACGGGCGCUAAUACCGCAUACGUCCUGAGGGAGAAAGUGGGGGGUCUUCGGACCUCACGCUAUCAGAUGAGCCUAGGUCGGAUUAGCUAGUUGGUGGGGUAACGGCCUACCAAGGCGACGAUCCGUAACUGGUCUGAGAGGAUGAUCAGUCACACGGGAACUGAGACACGGCCCAGACUCCUACGGGAGGAAGCAGUGGGGAAUAUUGGACAAGGGGCGAGAGCCUGAUCCAGCCAUGUCGCGUGAGUGAAGAAGGUCUUCGGAUUGUAAAGCACUUAAGGUUGGGAGGAAGGGCAGUAAGUUAAUACCUGGCUGUUUUGACGGUACCAACAGAAUAAGCACCGGCUAACUUCGUG